UACGUAGGGUGCGAGCGUUAAUCGGAAUUACUGGGCGUAAAGCGUGCGCAGGCGGUUUUGCAAGCCGGAUGUGAAAUCCCCGGGCUUAACCUGGGAAUGGCAUUUGGGACUGCAAGGCUGGAGUGCGGCAGAGGAGACUGGAAUUCCUGGUGUAGCGGUGAAAUGCGCAGAUAUCAGGAGGAACACCGGUGGCGAAGGCGGUUCUCUGGGCCUGUACUGACGCUGAGGAGCGAAAGCGUGGGGAGCGAACAGG
This 253-nucleotide ribosomal RNA is filed under the name uncultured bacterium. RNAcentral describes it as "partial 16S ribosomal RNA". It matches the Rfam family "Bacterial small subunit ribosomal RNA", at positions 524 to 776 of the family's 1533-position model. The record is from RNAcentral.